RNAcentral lists this ribosomal RNA (494 nucleotides) under uncultured bacterium. RNAcentral's name for it is "partial 16S ribosomal RNA". It matches the Rfam family "Bacterial small subunit ribosomal RNA", at positions 28 to 507 of the family's 1533-position model. The record is from RNAcentral.
GACGAACGCUGGCGGCGUGCCUAAUACAUGCAAGUAGAACGCUGAAGGAGGAGCUUGCUUCUCUGGAUGAGUUGUGAACGGGUGAGUAACGCGUAGGUAACCUGCCUGGUAGCGGGGGAUAACUAUUGGAAACGAUAGCUAAUACCGCAUAAUAGUAGAUGUUGCAUGACAUUUGCUUAAAGGUGCAAUUGCAUCACUACCAGAUGGACCUGCGUUGUAUUAGCUAGUUGGUGGGGUAACGGCUCACCAAGGCGACGAUACAUAGCCGACCUGAGAGGGUGAUCGGCCACACUGGGACUGAGACACGGCCCAGACUCCUACGGGAGGCAGCAGUAGGGAAUCUUCGGCAAUGGACGGAAGUCUGACCGAGCAACGCCGCGUGAGUGAAGAAGGUUUUCGGAUCGUAAAGCUCUGUUGUAAGAGAAGAACGAGUGUGAGAGUGGAAAGUUCACACUGUGACGGUAUCUUACCAGAAAGGGACGGCUAACUACGUG